Molecule: long non-coding RNA, 617 nt
Filed under: Equus caballus (horse)
Lineage: Eukaryota; Metazoa; Chordata; Mammalia; Perissodactyla; Equidae
Description: lncRNA (ENSECAG00000047716.1)
Source: RNAcentral
GCAGCUGUAGGCCUGCCAGUGCUGGAGAGCAGGGGCUGGACUGGUCGGACAGGCCAGGCCGGGCUGGGGAAGGCGCCUGGGGAGCAGCCUCCCCAGCCAGCCUCAGUCUGAGGGCCCAGGGUGGGAGGACCUCACACAAGUUUGCAUCGCUUUGAUUCCCAAAGAUUUUCAUCUCACUAGAGCCUUCGCCAAGAGCUGUGAUUCUCAAUGCUGCCACACACUGGAAUCCCCUGGAGAGCUUGAAAUCAGUCACCUAGGAGCGCAUGCCCAGCCUGCACCCCAGGGUGGGACCCGGGCAUCAGCAUUUGUAAAAGUCCCCCAGAGGAUUCCAAGGUGCCGCCAACGCCGAGAGCCACUGGUCUAAAGCAGCUUUCACCUAAUGAAAAACAGCUUUAUUGAGGUAUAAUUGAUAUACAAAAUCUGCACAUCUUUAAUGUAUAUGAGUGGCUGAGUUUGGACAUAUGCAUACACCCGUGAAACCAUCACCGCAAUCAGGUAAUAGACAUAUUCAUCGCUUCCAAACGUUUCUUUGUGCUUCUUUGUUUUUUGUUUUAGUUUUUUGUUUGUUUGUUUUUGCGGUGAGAACACAACAUGAGAUCCACUCUCUCAACAAAUUU